UGUAGACGACGAGCAUGGAGGCGGGCACCGCAGGCUGACUGCCGGUGACAAACCGGAGGAAGGUGGGGAUGACGUCAAAUCAUCAUGCCCCUUAUGAUCUGGGCUACACACGUGCUACAAUGGACAAUACAAAGGGCAGCUAAACCGCGAGGUCCAUCAAAUCCCAUAAAGUUGUUCUCAGUUCGGAUUGUAGUCUGCAACUCGACUACAUGAAGGUGGAAUCGCUAGUAAUCGUAGAUCAGCAUGCUACGGUGAAUACGUUCCCGGGUCUUGUACACACCGCCCGUCACACCACGAGAGUUUGUAACACCCGAAGCCGGUGGAGUAACCAUUUAUGGAGCUACGUGUCGAAGGCGGGACAAAGGAUGCGAGCUG
Molecule: ribosomal RNA, 375 nt
Filed under: Staphylococcus sp. MG2-H8
Lineage: Bacteria; Bacillati; Bacillota; Bacilli; Caryophanales; Staphylococcaceae
Description: bacterial SSU rRNA
Rfam family: Bacterial small subunit ribosomal RNA
Source: RNAcentral